Molecule: ribosomal RNA, 139 nt
Filed under: Thermoproteota archaeon
Lineage: Archaea; Thermoproteati; Thermoproteota
Also listed under: 1 other name
Source: RNAcentral
GUUGCCGACCACAGGGCCGUGGAACCACCCAUACCCAUUCCGAAAGUGAAAAAGACCGGGCGCAUGGAAGUUAAACGCGGUUCCGUCCUGGGCUGUAGUGUCGUCUUCGGGAGACGCGAAACCCAGGAAGUUGGCAACC